CGCUAUGUCAUAGGUAGUGGAGGAAGCGA
Molecule: non-coding RNA, 29 nt
Filed under: Homo sapiens (human)
Lineage: Eukaryota; Metazoa; Chordata; Mammalia; Primates; Hominidae
Source: RNAcentral